RNAcentral lists this ribosomal RNA (244 nucleotides) under uncultured bacterium. RNAcentral's name for it is "partial 16S ribosomal RNA". It matches the Rfam family "Archaeal small subunit ribosomal RNA", at positions 483 to 727 of the family's 1478-position model. The record is from RNAcentral.
CCCGAGUGGUCGGGACGAUUAUUGGGCCUAAAGCAUCCGUAGCCGGUUCUACAAGUCUUCCGUUAAAUCCACCUGCUUAACAGAUGGGCUGCGGAGGAUACUAUGGAGCUAGGAGGCGGGAGAGGCAAGCGGUACUUAGUGGGUAGGGGUAAAAUCCGUUGAUCCAUUGAAGACCACCAGUGGCGAAGGCGGCUUGCCAGAACGCACUCGACGGUGAGGGAUGAAAGCUGGGGGAGCAAACCGG